UCAAUUAUUUAUAGCCUCUGGCUAUAGGAAAUUGUUAGUGGCAGACGGGUGAGUAAUGCGUAGGAAUCUACCUAGUAGUACGGAAUAGCCAUUAGAAACGGUGGGUAAUACUGUAUAAUCCCCGAGGGGGAAAGAUUUAUCGCUAUUAGAUGAGCCUACGUUAGAUUAGCUAGUUGGUGAGGUAAUGGCUUACCAAGGCUAUGAUCUAUAGCUGGUCUGAGAGGACGAUCAGCCACACUGGAACUGAGAUACGGUCCAGACUCCUACGGAAGGCAGCAGUGGGGAAUAUUGGACAAUGGGCGAAAGCCUGAUCCAGCUAUGCCGCGUGAGUGAAGAAGGCCUUCGGGUUGUAAAACUCCUUCAAUAGGGAAGAUAAUGACGGUACCUAUA
This 390-nucleotide ribosomal RNA is filed under the name Ehrlichia canis. RNAcentral describes it as "bacterial SSU rRNA". It matches the Rfam family "Bacterial small subunit ribosomal RNA", at positions 63 to 483 of the family's 1533-position model. The record is from RNAcentral. Lineage: Bacteria; Pseudomonadati; Pseudomonadota; Alphaproteobacteria; Rickettsiales; Anaplasmataceae.